Molecule: non-coding RNA, 317 nt
Organism: Schizosaccharomyces pombe (fission yeast)
Lineage: Eukaryota; Fungi; Ascomycota; Schizosaccharomycetes; Schizosaccharomycetales; Schizosaccharomycetaceae
Source: the annotation of a GenBank genome assembly
CCAACAAAACAUUUAGUUUCGUUGUGCUGGUGAUAUCGCACAAGUUAAGUGAAAAGGGAUAUUUUGCUUAACUUGCUACGAUAUUGCUAGUUAGAUAUCUUUUUGAAUGAUUAAUUGAUUUUAGCUGUUUUUUACCGAAGCAUUUACUAAAGCCAUUUACAUGUAUGAUGAUACUUAAUUUUCAGUUCUGCUUCUGAGAAAAGCUUGAAGACAACCUGAUACCAAGAAACUCUCUAUUAUCUGAUUGUGUUAAUAGGCUUACUGCAUUUGCUUGUGUUUUGAAAUAGAUAAAUCAAAUAUAUAUGUUCGUGUAUUAA